UUGGGGGUAGCUCAAUGGGCAGAGCAGGCGGUUGUUAACCGCCAGGUUGCCGGUUCGAACCCGGCCUCCCGAGCCA
Molecule: transfer RNA, 76 nt
Filed under: Pseudomonadota bacterium
Lineage: Bacteria; Pseudomonadati; Pseudomonadota
Description: Proteobacteria bacterium (cold seep metagenome) tRNA-Asn
Rfam family: tRNA
About the family: Transfer RNA (tRNA) molecules are approximately 80 nucleotides in length. Their secondary structure includes four short double-helical elements and three loops (D, anti-codon, and T loops).
Source: RNAcentral